Molecule: ribosomal RNA, 1002 nt
Filed under: uncultured Escherichia sp.
Lineage: Bacteria; Pseudomonadati; Pseudomonadota; Gammaproteobacteria; Enterobacterales; Enterobacteriaceae
Description: bacterial SSU rRNA
Rfam family: Bacterial small subunit ribosomal RNA
Source: RNAcentral
GAAUGUGCCAGCAGCCGCGGUGAUACGGAGGGUGCAAGCGUUAAUCGGAAUUACUGGGCGUAAAGCGCACGCAGGCGGUUUGUUAAGUCAGAUGUGAAAUCCCCGGGCUCAACCUGGGAACUGCAUCUGAUACUGGCAAGCUUGAGUCUCGUAGAGGGGGGUAGAAUUCCAGGUGUAGCGGUGAAAUGCGUAGAGAUCUGGAGGAAUACCGGUGGCGAAGGCGGCCCCCUGGACGAAGACUGACGCUCAGGUGCGAAAGCGUGGGGAGCAAACAGGAUUAGAUACCCUGGUAGUCCACGCCGUAAACGAUGUCGACUUGGAGGUUGUGCCCUUGAGGCGUGGCUUCCGGAGCUAACGCGUUAAGUCGACCGCCUGGGGAGUACGGCCGCAAGGUUAAAACUCAAAUGAAUUGACGGGGGCCCGCACAAGCGGUGGAGCAUGUGGUUUAAUUCGAUGCAACGCGAAGAACCUUACCUGGUCUUGACAUCCACGGAAGUUUUCAGAGAUGAGAAUGUGCCUUCGGGAACCGUGAGACAGGUGCUGCAUGGCUGUCGUCAGCUCGUGUUGUGAAAUGUUGGGUUAAGUCCCGCAACGAGCGCAACCCUUAUCCUUUGUUGCCAGCGGUCCGGCCGGGAACUCAAAGGAGACUGCCAGUGAUAAAUUGGAGGAAGGUGGGGAUGACGUCAAGUCAUCAUGGCCCUUACGACCAGGGCUACACACGUGCUACAAUGGCGCAUACAAAGAGAAGCGACCUCGCGAGAGCAAGCGGACCUCAUAAAGUGCGUCGUAGUCCGGAUUGGAGUCUGCAACUCGACUCCAUGAAGUCGGAAUCGCUAGUAAUCGUGGAUCAGAAUGCCACGGUGAAUACGUUCCCGGGCCUUGUACACACCGCCCGUCACACCAUGGGAGUGGGUUGCAAAAGAAGUAGGUAGCUUAACCUUCGGGAGGGCGCUUACCACUUUGUGAUUCAUGACUGGGGUGAAGUCGUAACAAGGUAACCGA